Molecule: unclassified non-coding RNA, 342 nt
Filed under: soil metagenome
Description: partial contains 5.8S ribosomal RNA, internal transcribed spacer 2, and large subunit ribosomal RNA
Rfam family: 5.8S ribosomal RNA (bases 1-120)
Source: RNAcentral
GAUGAAGAACGCAGCGAAAUGCGAUAAGUAAUGUGAAUUGCAGAAUCCAGUGAAUCAUCGAAUCUUUGAACGCACAUUGCGCCCGCCAGCAUUCUGGCGGGCAUGCCUGUUCGAGCGUCAUUUCAACCCUCGACCUCCCUUUGGGGAAGUCGGCGUUGGGGACCGGCAGCACACCGCCGGCCCUGAAAUGGAGUGGCGGCCCGUCCGCGGCGACCUCUGCGUAGUAAACCAACUCGCACCGGAACCCCGACGUGGCCACGCCGUAAAACUCCCAACUUCUGAACGUUGACCUCGAAUCAGGUAGGACUACCCGCUGAACUUAAGCAUAUCAAUAAGCGAGGA